Molecule: long non-coding RNA, 353 nt
Organism: Anguilla anguilla (European eel)
Lineage: Eukaryota; Metazoa; Chordata; Actinopteri; Anguilliformes; Anguillidae
Exons: 2
Source: RefSeq, a predicted model, not a curated record
UGUAAGAGGCAUCUGCAGGGGAGUGGUCAGCAAAUACUUCAUGCCACUAGUGCAAGAGCUCAUGACUCGCGAUGGGCCCCGUCAAGCCUGUAAAAAAAUUCAUCUCUGCUGGUGGAGCCCACUGCAAGGGCCAGUGUGAGCAGGCAGGAAGAGGAAAUGUCCCAAGUUGCCGGACAGUGCAGAGCUCUCUCUCUCUCUCUCUCUCUCUCUGUCUCCCACACAGAGCAUUUUCUCAUUCGGUUCUUCUCAUAAUUAAAGGCUUAAGCAGACCCUGGCAUCACUUGCUAAAGAUAAAAGGCGCUACUUCCAGAAACUAUUCUACUGUCGCUCAAUAAAGCAUGAUUACAAAAAAA